RNAcentral lists this ribosomal RNA (484 nucleotides) under uncultured bacterium. RNAcentral's name for it is "partial 16S ribosomal RNA". It matches the Rfam family "Bacterial small subunit ribosomal RNA", at positions 28 to 523 of the family's 1533-position model. The record is from RNAcentral.
GAUGAACGCUGGCGGCGUGCUUAACACAUGCAAGUCGAACGGUGAAGCAGGAGCUUGCUCUUGUGGAUCAGUGGCGAACGGGUGAGUAACACGUGAGCAACCUGCCCCUGACUCUGGGAUAAGCGCUGGAAACGGCGUCUAAUACUGGAUAUGUGAUGUGACCGCAUGGUCUGCAUCUGGAAAGAAUUUCGGUUGGGGAUGGGCUCGCGGCCUAUCAGCUUGUUGGUGAGGUAAUGGCUCACCAAGGCGUCGACGGGUAGCCGGCCUGAGAGGGUGACCGGCCAGACUGGGACUGAGACACGGCCCAGACUCCUACGGGAGGCAGCAGUGGGGAAUAUUGCACAAUGGGCGGAAGCCUGAUGCGGCAACGCCGCGUGAGGGAUGACGGCCUUCGGGUUGUAAACCUCUUUUAGCAGGGAAGAAGCGAAAGUGACGGUACCUGCAGAAAAAGCACCGGCUAACCACGUGCCAGCCGCCGCGGUAA